CCUACGGGGGGCAGCAGUGAGGAAUAUUGGUCAAUGGGCGGGAGCCUGAACCAGCCAAGUCGCGUGAGGGAAGACGGUCCUAUGGAUUGUAAACCUCUUUAGGCGGGGAGCAAUGCCGGGCACGCGUGCCCGGAGGGAGAGUACCCGCAGAAUAAGCAUCGGCUAACUCCGUGCCAGCAGCCGCGGUAUUCCGGAGGAUGCGAGCGUUAUCCGGAUUUAUUGGGUUUAAAGGGUGCGCAGGCGGAAGAUCAAGUCAGCGGUAAAAUUGAGGGGCUAAACCUCUUCGAGCCGUUGAAACUGGUUGUCUUGAGUGAGCGAGAAGUAUGCGGAAUGCGUGGUGUAGCGGUGAAAUGCAUAGAUAUCACGCAGAACUCCGAUUGCGAAGGCAGCAUACUGGCGCUCAACUGACGCUCAUGCACGAAAGUGUGGGGAUCGAACAGGAUUAGAUACCCCUGUAGUU
Molecule: ribosomal RNA, 460 nt
Filed under: uncultured bacterium
Lineage: Bacteria
Description: partial 16S ribosomal RNA
Rfam family: Bacterial small subunit ribosomal RNA
Source: RNAcentral